AGCGGCGGACGGGUGAGUAAUGCGUAGGAAUCUGGCCGGUAGUGGGGGAUACCUGGGGAAACCCAGGCUAAUACCGCAUACGUCCUACGGGAGAAAGGGGGCUCCGGCUCCCGCUAUUGGAUGAGCCUAUGUCGGAGUAGCUAGUUGGUGAGGUAAUGGCUCACCAAGGCAACGAUCCGUAGCUGGUCUGAGAGGAUGAUCAGCCACAUCGGGACUGAGACACGGCCCGAACUCCUACGGGAGGCAGCAGUGGGGAAUAUUGGACAAUGGGGGCAACCCUGAUCCAGCCAUGCCGCGUGUGUGAAGAAGGCCCUCGGGUUGUAAAGCACUUUCAGCGAGGAAGAACGCCUAGCGGUUAAUACCCGCUAGGAAAGACAUCACUCGCAGAAGAAGCACCGGCUAACUCCGUGCCAGCAGCCGCGGUAAUACGGAGGGUGCAAGCGUUAAUCGGAAUUACUGGGCGUAAAGCGCGCGUAGGUGGCUUGAUAAGCCGGUUGUGAAAGCCCCGGGCUCAACCUGGGAACGGCAUCCGGAACUGUCAGGCUAGAGUGCAGGAGAGGAAGGUAGAAUUCCCGGUGUAGCGGUGAAAUGCGUAGAGAUCGGGAGGAAUACCAGUGACGAAAGGGGCCUUCUGGACUGACACUGACACUGAGGUGCGAAAGCGUGGGUAGCAAACAGGAAUAGAUACCCUGGUAGUCCACGCCGA
RNAcentral lists this ribosomal RNA (706 nucleotides) under uncultured bacterium. RNAcentral describes it as "bacterial SSU rRNA". It matches the Rfam family "Bacterial small subunit ribosomal RNA", at positions 94 to 803 of the family's 1533-position model. The record is from RNAcentral.